This is a long non-coding RNA of Ictalurus punctatus (channel catfish), 458 nucleotides long. Lineage: Eukaryota; Metazoa; Chordata; Actinopteri; Siluriformes; Ictaluridae. The record is from Ensembl.
GCACAAUAGGAGAAGAUAAGCAUAUAGAGUCUUCUAUAUACUGGUACCCAGGUGGUGGAAUGAAGACUGAGCGCUUGGAGCUGUGGAGAAAGUCCUACCACGAGAUCCAUCACAUCAGGUCAAAUUUCAUGAGGUCAGACUGAAAACAAAAAAGCCUGCUAAUCGAGAUCAUUGUUUGGCAGCAUAGUUGUGAAGAAUGAAGUCACACCAGUGGGGUGAGGUUGGAAAAACCAAAUGAAGAUUUGUCAUCAAAAUCCAUCCCUCUAUCUUCUAUAGCGCUUAUCCUUCCUUCAGGGUCACGGGGAACCUGGAGCCUGUCCCAGGGAGCAUCGGACACAAGGUGGGGUACACUCUGUACAGGGUGCCAAUCCAUCACAUCACAUUCACACACCCAUUCAUACACUACGGACACUUUGGACAUGCCAAUCAGCCUACCAUGCAUGUCUUUGGACUGGGGG